RNAcentral lists this unclassified non-coding RNA (328 nucleotides) under uncultured Ascomycota. RNAcentral's name for it is "sequence contains ITS1". The stretch from base 1 to 105 matches the Rfam family "5.8S ribosomal RNA", at positions 50 to 154 of the family's 154-position model. The record is from RNAcentral. Lineage: Eukaryota; Fungi; Ascomycota.
GAAAUGUGAUACGUAAUGUGAAUUGCAGAAUUCAGUGAAUCAUCGAAUCUUUGAACGCACAUUGCGCCCCUUGGUAUUCCGAGGGGCAUGUCUGUCUGAGCGUCAUGUUCGCCCCUCAAGAUCCAGCUUGUCUGGCCUUGGUUCUGAGCUCUGGAAGAAGUACCGGCCAGGCUUUAAAUCCAUGUUGCGGGCUGUCGCCUCCAUCAAAACGUAGUAAGAAAUCUAUCGUCUUGUGGUUGGCAAGCAAGCUCAGCCUAAACCAAGCCCUAGUCAUCAACCGACUAUGUUGUUUGACCUCAGGUCAGGCGGGGCUACCCGCUGAGUUUAA